Molecule: RNA transcript, 1396 nt
Organism: Molossus molossus (Pallas's mastiff bat)
Lineage: Eukaryota; Metazoa; Chordata; Mammalia; Chiroptera; Molossidae
Gene: GORAB
Gene name: golgin, RAB6 interacting
Exons: 7
Source: RefSeq, a predicted model, not a curated record
CCGGAUGUGCCUGGGUAGUCGUGCUGGCAGUCGGGGCUCUGAGGUUUGGGCGUUCUGGGGGUGCUGGCAGCCCGGGCGGAUGGCGCAGGGCUGGGCUGGCUUCUCUGAGGAGGAGCUGAGGCGACUGAAGCAGAGUAAAGAUCCAUUCGAACCACAGCGGCGUCCCCCUGUGAAGAAAAGUCGACAACAGCUUCAGCGAGAAAAGGCCCUUCAGGAGCAAAGCCAAAAACUCGGACUGCGAGAUGGAUCGACCAGAUUGCCUCCUGAGCAGCAGCUCUCUGCACCACAACAGAGAUUUCAUCACCAGGAGGCGCCCCCCCACGCCCUCGCUGCGCCUGGUUCUCUUACACUCACCGCUCCUGUUGGUAAUGGAAACCCACAGGGCACGGAACGUCACCCAAGGGAGCUGGGACUGGAGAAUUCCCGUGAUGGUCACAUGAGUGCCGAGGUUGUACCUCCAAGGCCAGAUUGCAAAUUGGAGAAAAAGAAAGUGGAAUUGCAAGAAAAGUCUCGUUGGGAAGUCCUCCAACAAGAACAACGGCUAAUGGAAGAGAAAAAUAAACGUAAGAAAGCUCUUUUGGCUAAAGCUAUUGCAGAAAGAUCUAAAAGAACUCAGGCAGAGACCGUGAAACUGAAGAGAAUCCAGAAGGAGUUACAGGCCUUAGAUGACAUGGUGUCAGCUGACAUUGGCAUCCUCAGGAACCGGAUUGACCAGGCCAGUCUGGACUAUUCAAAUGCUCAGAAGCGGUUUGACCGGGCGGAAGCCGAGUAUGUUACAGCCAAGCUUGACCUACAGCGCAAGACUGACAUUAAAGAGCAGCUCACCGAGCACCUUUGUACGAUCAUACAGCAAAAUGAGCUCCGCAAGGCCAGGAAGCUGGAGGAGCUGAUGCAGCAGCUGGAUGUCCAGGCUGACGAGGAGGCCUUGGAGCUGGACGUGGAGGUGGAGAGGCUGCUGCACGAACAAGAGGCAGAAGCAGGGAAACAGAAGGUUCAUGGAGAGCCUUCAGGGGAGACUGUGACACUGGGACCUGCUCAGAACCAGAAGCAUCAAGCGCCAGCUGCUUGCCCAGAGGCGGAUGAACAAGGAAUAAACAGAUCUGAUGCAUUUAUAAUGUGGCCUCUCGUUUACCUUUCCGAAGACUUUGCAGUUUGGUGUGUGUCCUGAAGCAGCGUGGCAGUAGUGCGGCCCGAGUCUCCACGUGGCAGAUACACUCGUCUUCUGUACGCACCCGUUAGGGAAAAUUCAUCAGAGGACACAGCAAGAAGAUGGUACUUUGUUACACAGCCUGAACUGACUGAUACAGAUUCUGGCAGCCAGAAGCAGGAUGCGGCUACAACAGCUUCCACUCAGCAGCUCCGGAAGUCUCUGCUCAUUCAAGCAUCUGAAGUCUGA